CUAUACGGUGAAACUGCGAAUGGCUCAUUAAAUCAGUUAUCGUUUAUUUGAUAGUACCUUACUACUUGGGAUAACCGUGGUAAUUCUAGAGCUAAUACAUGCUAAAAACCUCGACUUCGGGAGGGGUGUAUUUAUUAGAUAAAAAACCAAUGCCCUUCGGGGCUUCUUGGUGAUUCAUAAUAACUUAACGAAUCGCAUGGCCCUGCGCCGGCGAUGGUUCAUUCAAAUUUCUGCCCUAUCAACUUUCGAUGGUUAGGUAGUGGCUAACCAUGGUUUCGACGGGUAACGGGGAAUUGGCGCGAAGGGAGAGAUGAGUUUACUAUCUUUUGAUCAUGUGCUAACGUACAUCGCAGAGGGUUCUAUUCCGGAGAGGGAGCCUGAGAAACGGCUACCACAUCCAAGGAAGGCAGCAGGCGCGCAAAUUACCCAAUCCCGACACGGGGAGGUAGUGACAAUAAAUACUGAUGCAGGGCUCUUUUGGGUCUUGCAAUUGGAAUGAGUACAAUUUAAAUCCCUUAACGAGGAACAAUUGGAGGGCAAGUCUGGUGCCAGCAGCCGCGGUAAUUCCAGCUCCAAUAGCGUAUAUUAAAGUUGUUGCAGUUAAAAAGCUCGUAGUUGAAACUUGGGCCUGGCUGUCCGGUCCGCCUCACCGCGUGCACUGGCUCGGCCGGGCCUUUCCUUCUGAGGAGCCGCAUGCCCUUUAUUGGGUGUGUCGGGGAACCAGGACUUUUACUUUGAAAAAAUUAGAGUGUUCAAAGCAGGCCUAUGCUCGAAUACAUUAGCAUGGAAUAAUAGAAUAGGACGCGUGGUUCUAUUUUGUUGGUUUCUAGGACCGCCGUAAUGAUUAAUAGGGAUAGUCGGGGGCAUCAGUACUCAAUUGUCAGAGGUGAAAUUCUUGGAUUUAUUGAAGACUAACUACUGCGAAAGCAUUUGCCAAGGAUGUUUUCAUUAAUCAGGGAACGAAAGUUAGGGGAUCGAAGACGAUCAGAUACCGUCGUAGUCUUAACCAUAAACUAUGCCGACUAGGGAUCGGACGGUGUUAUUAUUUUGACCCGUUCGGCACCUUACGAGAAAUCAAAGUUUUUGGGUUCUGGGGGGAGUAUGGUCGCAAGGCUGAAACUUAAAGACAUUGACGGAAGGGCACCACCAGGCGUGGAGCCUGCGGCUUAAUUUGACUCAACACGGGGAAACUCACCGGGUCCGGAUUUGAUAAGGAUUGACAGAUUGAGAGCUCUUUCUUGAUUUCAAAGUUGGUGGUGCAUGGCCGUUCUUAGUUGGUG
This 1280-nucleotide ribosomal RNA is filed under the name Calicium salicinum. Its description in RNAcentral is "SSU rRNA". It matches the Rfam family "Eukaryotic small subunit ribosomal RNA", at positions 74 to 1303 of the family's 1831-position model. Lineage: Eukaryota; Fungi; Ascomycota; Lecanoromycetes; Caliciales; Caliciaceae. The record is from RNAcentral.